UGGCUGUCAGGCUCAGCUGUGCCCUGAGGUUCAGCCAUCAGCACCAUCUGUAGCCACUUGGAACCAGCUGGAAUGGGGCAGACCCACCCUCUCCUCACAGAGCAGCCCUGCAGUCCCCACUACCAAAACCUUACCAGUUGUGACCAGUGCCAGAACAAGAGGCAAUAAACACAAACUCAGAAUGUUCCAUCUGGAUAGAAAGCAGCCUCUUUAAUGUGCGGGUGACUGAGCACUGGCCCACGUUGCCUAGAGAGUUUGUGGAGUUCCCCUCUUUGGAGAUUUUCAGAAGACACCUGGGCAACUUGCUUGAGCAGGGUUGGACUAGAUGGCCUCCAGAGGUGCUGGGGGAUGCUGUCAGCCUCACCCUGCUCUGAAACCAUCUCUUCACACCUAAUAAAUCCAGCUCCUAUAGCUGUACAGGCAAGUUCUCAGUGCCCUGAGAAUCCUAGCGACUCUCUGUUGUGUUCACUGCAUUAUAUUGGUGCUUUUUCUGUCUUGGGGACUCAGCGAUGGAUGCAGUGCCAUAGUAAUAGCAGAGUUUUCCAACAUUUGGAAAAUUUAAUGAACUGAAGAUGGAAUUGUGAACUUAAAAGAACAUUUGAGUAGAAAUCUACAAGGAAAAUUGAAAUCUAAUACAACUUCCUUCCUUUAAAGAAUACAAUAAAAUUGACAGAUUUAUGUGCUACUUUAUUUUGCUUUUAAUCUGCAAACACCUUCUUUAUUAGAUGGAUUAUGGCAAUGAGGAAACAUUUACUGAACCAAUAAAACAUUCAGUUUCUAUUACAUUAAAAAGAACUUGAUGAAAGUUUUUGCAGAUAAUACUCCAAAGCAUUUGAUUGCUGUGUAUCUAUACUCAGUCAAAAACCAGUUAUACACAACUGAAAAUUAAACUGUUAAAUGUUUGUUCUAUGUUUUUUAAUGUAAAUUCUCUUGUAAUUCCAGUGUAAGAUCAGAAAGAAAGAUAGGCUUCUUACUGAGUAAUGAUAAGCAUUCAUCAAUGAGAAGGGCAUUUCAUUCUUCUAAUAGACAAAGCAUUGCUUACUUUUCAGUUACAUGAAGAGGAUAAUUGUCAGCAUGCUUAGGAAAACAGUCUCUUUUAAGAUAUAUUUAAAUGAAUUAAAGGAUUUUGUUCUAAUUUCUCCCACCUAAAGUACAAAAUAGAAAGAAUUUGGGGAAAAGCAUUAAAUAAGUUGGUACCUUCUAGAUCUGGAAAUGAUGACAAGCUUUAGGAGCUGAAGAGAAUAUAGAAGGGAAGCAAUAAAGCUGAAAACUCGAUGACCUACUCAUCCCUACCAGGAAGGAAUACCAAUUGAAUUCAGUAGUGAAACUUUACUGUACGAUUUAGCAUACUUUUAAAAAUACCUUGUGGGAUGUAUUUUGAAAGCAUUUAUAGAUCUUUUCAGAGAUGAUGGUAUGAACUAAUACUUUUAUUUGAUUUUUAUCCCUAAUACUGUAUUUGAUUAUUUCCGUACUCAUAAUAGGACACGUAGAAAGGCAGACGUCAUCUCUCUUUCUAACAGCAUUCCUCUUUACGUGACUCAUUUCUUGAUAAAACUUUCUCUCCAACAUCACAAUAGGUGAUCAUGAUGAUUAACUCAAAUAUGUUCCAAAAACAACCUUUGAUGCAAGCACUAUUAAAGCACCAAUCAAUCAGCUUCAAAUUGUGAUUUCUUUGCUUUCCAGUUACCUCAGUGAUGUUGGACUGUUGUAUUCAUUUCCUGUUUUGUGAAACAAUUGCUACAGAUCCAUUUCCUAAAAUAAAAAUUGUCCUAUUUUCUUCUCUAUUGUGCAAGCACAUGUAUGUUUAAUAGUUUCUACUACUGGUAUAGCUAGAGUACCUAGAAAUCAGAUUCUCUAAUUGAUUUGCGUGUAACUCUAAUGUAAAUUACUAGUGGCUGGUGCCACAAUGGAUUAUAUAAAGUAAGUUUUAAGAUACAGUGCUACGUAGAAAAAAUGUGGGAAAACCUCAUGAUUUCAUUUCAGUAGGAAUGUUGUACAAAUUCUUAACAGAUUCCAUUUCAUUUUUUUUUGUUUCAAAAUUCAUUUUAGAGAAUCAGUUUUACUAAUGAGAAAUCUGAUAAUUUGGACUAUUUUAAAGAUGAGUCAUAUGAGAGUUUCUCAACAUACACUGGCUGACCAAACUCUAAUGAUCAGAGAUUAGUGGGAGUAGAGAUUAAUGUAUUACAACGGAUUUGUUGUCUCCGUAGAUCUACUCAAAAUGAUUCUACUUUUUAAUUGCACCAGAGCAAGUUAUCAAAAUAUAGCAAAAAAAUUCUCUGAAGUUCUUAAAGGAAUCU
This is a non-coding RNA of Meleagris gallopavo (turkey), 2297 nucleotides long. Lineage: Eukaryota; Metazoa; Chordata; Aves; Galliformes; Phasianidae. The record is from RefSeq and is a predicted model, not a curated record.